UUGAAACACUAGUUCCCGUAUGAUUGCCAUAGUUAAGCAACAUUGAGCUUGGCUAGUACUUAGAUGGGUCACUGCUUCGGAAUACCAGGUGCUGUAA
Molecule: non-coding RNA, 97 nt
Organism: Acanthosepion pharaonis
Lineage: Eukaryota; Metazoa; Mollusca; Cephalopoda; Sepiida; Sepiidae
Source: the annotation of a GenBank genome assembly